AUUGAACGCUGGCGGCAGGCCUAACACAUGCAAGUCGAGCGGAUGAAGGGAGCUUGCUCCUGGAUUCAGCGGCGGACGGGUGAGUAAUGCCUAGGAAUCUGCCUGGUAGUGGGGGAUAACGUCCGGAAACGGGCGCUAAUGCCGCAUACGUCCUGAGGGAGAAAGUGGGGGAUCUUCGGACCUCACGCUAUCAGAUGAGCCUAGGUCGGAUUAGCUAGUUGGUGGGGUAAAGGCCUACCAAGGCGACGAUCCGUAACUGGUCUGAGAGGAUGAUCAGUCACACUGGAACUGAGACACGGUCCAGACUCCUACGGGAGGCAGCAGCGGGGAAUAUUGGACAAUGGGCGAAAGCCUGAUCCAGCCAUGCCGCGUGUGUGAAGAAGGUCUUCGGAUUGUAAAGCACUUUAAGUUGGGAGGAAGGGCAGUAAGUUAAUACCUUGCUGUUUUGACGUUACCAACAGAAUAAGCACCGGCUAACUUCGUG
This 484-nucleotide ribosomal RNA is filed under the name uncultured bacterium. RNAcentral describes it as "partial 16S ribosomal RNA". It matches the Rfam family "Bacterial small subunit ribosomal RNA", at positions 30 to 507 of the family's 1533-position model. The record is from RNAcentral.